UACGUAGGGUGCAAGCGUUAAUCGGAAUUACUGGGCGUAAAGUGUGCGCAGGUGGCUGAGCAAGUCGAGUGUGAAAUCCCCGGGCCUAACCUGGAAACUGCAUUUGUGACUGCAUAGCUAGAGUUUGUCAGAGGGGGGUGGAAUUCCACGUGUAGCAGUGAAAUGCGUAGAUAUGUGGAGGAACACCGAUGGCGAAGGCAGCCCCCUGGGAUGUGACUGACGCUCAUGUACGAAAGCGUGGGGAGCAAACAGG
RNAcentral lists this ribosomal RNA (253 nucleotides) under uncultured bacterium. Its description in RNAcentral is "partial 16S ribosomal RNA". It matches the Rfam family "Bacterial small subunit ribosomal RNA", at positions 524 to 776 of the family's 1533-position model. The record is from RNAcentral.